GUAGGUGGCAAGCGUUGUCCGGAAUUAUUGGGCGUAAAGCGCGCGCAGGUGGUUCUUUAAGUCUGAUGUGAAAGCCCCCCGGCUCAACCGGGGAGGGUCAUUGGAAACUGGGGAACUUGAGUGCAGGAGAGGAAAGUGGAAUUCCACGUGUAGCGGUGAAAUGCGUAGAUAUGUGGAGGAACACCAGUGGCGAAGGCGACUUUCUGGCCUGUAACUGACACUGAGGCGCGAAAGCGUGGGGAGCAAACAGGGAUUAGAUACCCUGGUAGUCCACGCCGUAAACGAUGAGUGCUAAGUGUUGGGGGGGUUUCCCGCCCCGUCAGUGCUGCAGCUAACGCAUUAAGCACUCCGCCUGGGGAGUACGGUCGCAAGACUG
RNAcentral lists this ribosomal RNA (376 nucleotides) under uncultured organism. RNAcentral's name for it is "partial 16S ribosomal RNA". It matches the Rfam family "Bacterial small subunit ribosomal RNA", at positions 527 to 896 of the family's 1533-position model. The record is from RNAcentral.